Molecule: long non-coding RNA, 284 nt
Filed under: Populus trichocarpa (black cottonwood)
Lineage: Eukaryota; Viridiplantae; Streptophyta; Magnoliopsida; Malpighiales; Salicaceae
Description: long non-coding RNA (PTRI_LNC000655)
Source: RNAcentral
AUCCUUGAAUUGUAUAACACAUCAAUACCACUUUCGUUAUAACUUAGAUUUGAUGAUAAAUGGGAUAUAGGAUAGAAAUGUUGCAUCAUCAUCAUCAAGCAUAAAGUCAACAUCAAAACUUACCAUAGCCGGAUAUGGACGUUUUGAACCAGCAACAGAAUCAUAAUCACGGCCAUGCCCUUCACGGUAAUUUGGAGGAGGCCUCUCGCGGUAAUUUGGAGGAGGCCUCUCGUACCUUUGACUAUAGCCAUCAUCGGCAUAAGCUCUCCUUGCAGACAUGCGAG